RNAcentral lists this long non-coding RNA (1619 nucleotides) under Exaiptasia diaphana. RNAcentral describes it as "uncharacterized LOC114575592". The record is from RNAcentral. Lineage: Eukaryota; Metazoa; Cnidaria; Anthozoa; Actiniaria; Aiptasiidae.
UGAAGCGGCUGGUUCUCAAAAUGAAAUUCGGAAGGAACGCGAAGCACAUGAUAUGAGCGGCAAUGAUGUAACUGGCCAAAACAUAAACGUUGAAGCUAACCAAAUCAGANAAACUCAAACUGGAACCCAGCAAUNCAAGUANGUCAUCUUCCCGUAUAAAAUCUCAUAAAAUAAGCUUGAUUCUUACAUAAAGACUUGGUUCGACACUUUGGUUUAAAGCAAGUUAAUUAUCUGUAUUUUUUUUUCGUUUGUGAGUCCGUUGGUUUCUUGAUUGGCUAACUGUUGUUUUAUUGGUUGGUUGGUUUGGAGGUUGGUUGGAUGGGUGGUUGGUUGGUUGGUUGGNUGGUUGGUUGGUUGGGUGGGUGGUUGAUUAUAGUUGGUUAGUUAGUUGAUUGUUUUUCAAUUGGUUUAUUGUUUGGUUUAUUAGUGGUUGGUAGGUUAUUUGGAAUGUCGGUAUGUUCCGUUAAUGUUUUCAACACAGGNUUCGCGCACAAACUGGAGAAAAGCAACGUCAUCAAUGCAAAGACUGGUUGGGUGGAUCGGAUCUCAUCAGUCGCAAGCGAACUAAGAGAGUACGCACAAAAGAGAAGCCUUACGACCGAGCACCCGUCUGGUACAAAAGAUUAUCACUGUCUGGGAACUUUUUUAAGCAUAAACUAGUUCAAUCCACACUUAUUGAAACUGAGAUAUCGCGUAAAAACUACGGGUUNGGGGUUUCGGACGAGCCCUCCACAGCUUAAAAGGUCCGCAUGCCGGAUUAUGAAAAGAACAAACUCCCCUAUUUGUAAGGCGGCCUACGGCAGAGUUGCAACCCACCAGAGUCAAGCAUCCAAGAGAUAGAGGCGUUCUUGGCCGCUGUUAAACGAGAACUUUUUAAUCCUAACAAUGUUAAGGUCGCCAAAGAUAAUCUGAAUCAGGCAGAAAGAUCUGCAUUGAAAGAACUAAACUUUUUCCGGUGUAUAAAAUUUUUUUUUGUACACAACUGUAUAGCGUUUUAUUUUGCUAUUAAGUUAUCAUUGUGAUUAUUAAUUUAUCUAUAAGAAUAUAACUGAUUUNUAAAUCAUUAUUCAUUAAUCAGCAACGUUUUAUUGUGGUCAUAUAAUAUCAUGAUAAUUUGUAAAUAAAUGAUAUUUAUUUGUCGCUUAUGAAAAAGAGCUUUCUCAAAGACCAGAGUUGACUACGCUGGUCUCAUACUGUUAGAAAUUGGGCGACGACGUGGAAGCAAGAAUGAAAUUACGUCAGUAAGCUUUUUCACCUACUUUUUCCGGUGUAUAGUUUUUUUGACGUCAUAUGACGUCACAGUGACAGUUUGAUAUGUAAGGAUCCCACCAAUGAAAAUCCUGGAUCCGCCCCUGUUGCGCCACGACCAAUGUGCAUGCUGGGUGAAUAGGAGUCAUUGCUGUUAUUCUAUGUCUUCUCAUUUAGUAUCCAUGCAAUCCCAAUGUCUUUCACCACUGCAAAUGAUCAAGAAGGCGCUUUGUUUCACAGAAAUUGUCUAGCUAACCUACACCUUAAAAAGUGUCAUAAACCAAAACGACAACUAUUUUUAAAAAAACGUGAAAACUUUAAUUUUAAAAAGAGUAAAAAAUGCAUGUAUUUGAUGGGUAAUUAAAGCCAAU